AUACGUAGGGGGCGAGCGUUGUCCGGAAUGACUGGGCGUAAAGGGCGCGUAGGCGGCUCGAUAAGUUGGAUGUGAAAUACCCGUGCUUAACAUGGGGGUUGCAUUCAAGACUGUCGAGCUGGAGUGCAGGAGAGGAAAGCGGAAUUCCCAGUGUAGCGGUGAAAUGCGUAGAGAUUGGGAGGAACACCAGUGGCGAAGGCGGCUUUCUGGACUGUAACUGACGCUGAGGCGCGAAAGCGUGGGGAGC
RNAcentral lists this ribosomal RNA (247 nucleotides) under uncultured bacterium. RNAcentral's name for it is "partial 16S ribosomal RNA". It matches the Rfam family "Bacterial small subunit ribosomal RNA", at positions 523 to 769 of the family's 1533-position model. The record is from RNAcentral.